GAUGAACGCUGGCGGCGUGCCUAAUACAUGCAAGUCGAGCGAACAGACGAGGUGCUUGCUCCUCUGACGUUAGCGGCGGACGGGUGAGUAACACGUGGAUAACCUACCUAUAAGACUGGGAUAACUUCGGGAAACCGGAGCUAAUACCGGAUAAUAUAUUGAACCGCAUGGUUCAAUAGUGAAAGACGCUUUUGCUGUCACCUAUAGAUGGAUCCGCGCCGCAUUAGCUAGUUGGUAAGUUAAGGGCUUACCAAGGGGUCCAUGCGAAGCCGACCGGAGGGGGUGUCGGCCCACCCUGGACCUGAGCCACGCUCCAUCCCCCCACGGGGCGCGCCGGAGGGAAAUUUUGCGCAAUGGAGGAAGGCCUUACGGGGCACCCCCGCGUGUGUGAGGAAGGUCUUCGAAUCGAAAAACUGUUUUAUUAGGGAGAAACAUAGGUGUAAGUAACUAUACACCUCGUGACGGUAACUACUCAGAAAGCCACGGCUAACUACGUG
This 497-nucleotide ribosomal RNA is filed under the name uncultured bacterium. Its description in RNAcentral is "partial 16S ribosomal RNA". It matches the Rfam family "Bacterial small subunit ribosomal RNA", at positions 28 to 507 of the family's 1533-position model. The record is from RNAcentral.